AUGGAUGUCAACAGAGCACCAGGGCCUGAUAACAUUCCUGCUGAAUUUUAUCAGUACUGUUGGGAUAUAGUUAAAAAUGAUAUCAUGAGGCUUUUUGACAGCUUCCACACAGGCACACUGGAUGUGCAGCGCCUUAACUAUGGCAUUAUCACCUUGCUCCCUAAAGUCUCGGGGGCUGAUCGUAUACAACAAUUUCGACCUAUCUGCCUUCUUCGUUGUCCCUACAAGUUGAUCACCAAGGUUAUGGAUAGGAGAGUUUCUAGGUACGCUGACAUCCUUAUCAGUCCCACUCAGAAUGCCUUUGUAAAAGGCAGAAGCAUUAUGGAUGGGUUGUUGGCUCUCCACGAACUUCUCAACUAUACCCAUGUCAAAAAGAGGGUCGGGGUGGUCCUCAAACUUGAUUUCGAAAAAGCCUACGAUAAAGUCAAUUGGGACUUCCUACUUGAGUGUCAUAAGAUGCGAGGCUUUGAUCCCAAAUGGUGUAGCUGGGUUGAGCAAAUCCUUCGCAAUGGCACAGUCAGCAUCAAGUUGAAUAAUUGUGUCGGGCCCUAUUUCCGAAGUGCUAAAGGGGUACGCCAGGGGGACCCAUAUUCUCCUUUCUUGUUUAAUAUGGAUGUGGAAUGCCUCACUAAAAUGAUCAAGAAUGCCCAGAACAAUAAUCUCAUUGUUGGGUUAGCUUUGGAUCUUAUUCCACAUGGAGUUGCGGUGCUGCAAUAUGCAGACGACACGAUCAUCUGUCUAGAGCACGAUAUGGAAAAGGCCGUUAAUCUUAAACUCCUGUUGUACGCUUUUGAAAUGAUGUCUGGCCUCAAGGUUAAUUUUCACAAGAGUGAGAUCUUAACCGUUGGGGGGAUGCCCAGACUACUAAGGCUUAUGCUAAGCUAUUCAAUUGCGAUAUAG
Molecule: ribosomal RNA, 900 nt
Filed under: Triticum aestivum (bread wheat)
Lineage: Eukaryota; Viridiplantae; Streptophyta; Magnoliopsida; Poales; Poaceae
Description: partial small subunit ribosomal RNA
Source: RNAcentral